Molecule: long non-coding RNA, 602 nt
Filed under: Triticum aestivum (bread wheat)
Lineage: Eukaryota; Viridiplantae; Streptophyta; Magnoliopsida; Poales; Poaceae
Description: long non-coding RNA (TAES_LNC015359)
Source: RNAcentral
CAUUCAACACUGUAUGUCCCAUUUUUUUGCUAUGCAACACUGGUAGCAAAAUAUCAUGUGUAUAGGAUUUGUUUGUGCAACACUAGCAGCAAAACAUACUCUUUUUGCUAACAAAAUUCACCAACCCUGCUAAUGUGUUAUCAUGUGUAUUUUUUUCUUUUGCAUCAGGAUACGAAGUUGUUGCUCAAUUUCCGGACGUUUGUUGCAGCAAAGCUUUUCAAGCACCCGCAAAACACUCUCAACUCAGCAGAAGAGUUCCAGGCCUUGUUGAAGGGGAAAAGGUCAUAGACGAUGGAGCCCUAGAUGAUGCCAAUCAGGAGGACAAACACCUUGCUAGUUUGUUUAGGCUAUUAUUGGGUCCAUCAUUUUCUUUUUUGUAACUGAAACAUGUUGCUUGCUAUCUCGUUUUUGUAACUGGAAUCAGCUAGUUGAUAUUACCUAUCACCUUCUUUAGUACUCUAUGGAACCCAAACUAAAGCAUGUGUCAUGCUGGGGAUGUUCCUUUUUCUUUUAUUUAUUGAAUGUCGGAGCAUCAUCCAUUGCUAAGCUUCAAUGUGGUACAGUAGAGAUGAAUUUUUCAGAUAUGAUAAUGAAAUGACUAC